This 84-nucleotide transfer RNA is filed under the name Eubacterium sp. RNAcentral describes it as "tRNA-Leu". It matches the Rfam family "tRNA". From Rfam's summary of the family: Transfer RNA (tRNA) molecules are approximately 80 nucleotides in length. Their secondary structure includes four short double-helical elements and three loops (D, anti-codon, and T loops). Lineage: Bacteria; Bacillati; Bacillota; Clostridia; Eubacteriales; Eubacteriaceae. The record is from RNAcentral.
GCCGGCGUGUUGGAAUUGGCAGACAAGACAGACUCAAAAUCUGUUGGUGCUUGCACCGUGCGGGUUCGACCCCCGCCGCCGGCA